Molecule: long non-coding RNA, 760 nt
Organism: Vespa mandarinia (Asian giant hornet)
Lineage: Eukaryota; Metazoa; Arthropoda; Insecta; Hymenoptera; Vespidae
Source: RefSeq, a predicted model, not a curated record
AUAUAUAUUAAAUGAAAAAUUCAGAUCAAUUAUUCACGGACGCAAACGCACCUAGAUAGAAAUGUUACUUUUUUGUGUUACGGAUUGGAUUUGAUCGAUCCGAUAUCAAUUGGGGUUAGUUUAAUCGAUUUGUUAUUCGAUUAACGCUCCUUGUAAAUCGAUUCCUCGAACUAAUCGAUUAUCGAUGGUUACAAAAGAACAAUUCGUCUAAUAUCCGUUGCGGUUGCUCGCUCCCGACGAUCGAGGAAGUAACGAGAGUGGGUGCAGCCCUAGUUACGUAAGAAGGCUUUACCAAAGAUGCCUCGGCAAUGCACAGUGAUUCUCAAAUAAUAUAUGACUCUCUCCUUCAUUAGUAUAUUAGGUGAAUUAGUUGAAACAAUGAAUGUUGAUUGUUUCUUUUCUUCGUUGUCCACAAAAAAAUUGCAGUGAUUUAUAACACGUCAUAAUUUUUUUUUCUUCUUUUUUUUUUCUUUUUUUUUCUUUUUAAAAGAACCACUCAUUUCGACCAAUCAGCUAUUCCGAUAGAAAAAAAAAAUGGCCACUAGGAUAACCACCGUUACGACCAAUCAACAAUCUCGAUAACAAACAAACAAAAAAAUAACGAAUAAGAGAAGCUUCCUCGUUGGUCAGACGACCGGAGAUGAGCGUUCGUUUGAGUGAUCCACAUAUACAUUCUAACUUUGUUAAUUCAAAACGGAAAUUGAUAGUUGCCAGACUCGUGUAACGGAACAAGUAUUUACAAGUAUGCGUAUAUGAAUAA